This 282-nucleotide signal recognition particle RNA is filed under the name Theropithecus gelada (gelada). RNAcentral's name for it is "Metazoan signal recognition particle RNA (ENSTGEG00000020489.1)". It matches the Rfam family "Metazoan signal recognition particle RNA". Rfam says of the family: The signal recognition particle (SRP) is a universally conserved ribonucleoprotein. It is involved in the co-translational targeting of proteins to membranes. The record is from RNAcentral. Lineage: Eukaryota; Metazoa; Chordata; Mammalia; Primates; Cercopithecidae.
GAUGGGCACGGUAUCUCGUGCCUGUAGUCCCAGCUUCUCUGGAGGCUGAGGCAAGAGGAUAACUUGAGUCCGAGAGUUCUGGACUGUAGUGUGCUAUGUCAAUUGGGUGUCUGCACUAAGUUCAACAUCACUAUGGUGACCUUCCUGGAGCAGACCACCAGGUUGCCUAAGCCGGGGUAAAAAGGCCCAGGUUGGAAAUAGAGCAGGUCAAAACUCCCAUGCUGAUCAUGGGACCAUGAUCAUAGUGGGACCAUGCCUAGGAAAUAAGUGAGACCCUGUCUU